UAUUGUUAGAUAAGAAUGGCGUGGCUUCUACUGUCUUCACUCCAUAAUUACAACUUGAUGUUUUCAAUGCUGCUGGAUGCAUUAACUUGCUACUAGUCACUCUUGAGUAAGUUGUCCUUCUUGAUUAAAAUAAACAAGUUAAAAUGUAACACAUGUUUUGUAAAUACAUCAUGAGGAAAACAAACUUAUAAACUAAGUAAAUUAAUUUAUUAAGUGAAUUCAAAACAAACAAUGGAAUACUUACCAUUUCCAUGAACAUUGUCCUGAGCUAGCAGCAGCACAUCUUUUUUAUAGCCCGAUCUCUCUCCCAUAUCUUACAGGUAGAUAAUUACAUAAUGGAUUAGUACUUCAUUAAAAGCCAUAAAAAAAAAAAAAAAUCUGUUACAACAAGAUUUGAAUUUACUCUAAAUAGCAACAUUACAUAAUCUGCUCUCAACAGCAAGAAAACCCCAUUUGCCCCAACAUAACAAACACGGUAGCAAAUGCUCCCUAAUAUAAGCAAAAUCACACAUCCAUUUCAGCUUUUGCAUUAAAUCAAACAAAAAAUCAUCCUUUUUCUCAUUAAAUCAAAGACAUAACAAGUCAAUUAGUUUAACAAGCAAUAGAUUCAUAAAAGUGAUAAAACCCACUUUUUUUUUGGUAAUAUAAAAACCAUAACCUUCUAACAUUAUAAAUUAUGAUUGUUUCAAAACUCAAGAAAUCAGAAGGUAUUACUCAAAGAACAACUUGCAGUAGCAUAUUCAUGAAAUUCAACAAACCCAUUUUCAUAUAUAAUUAACACAGUCACAGCAAAAAAAAAAAAAAAAAAAGCAUCGGCAAUAUGUUUUAAAUCACUGAAUCUUCAAAUGCAAGCUGUGAUUUGAAGAUUGACCUCUUAUUCGCUCCAAUCUCAGUCGUGGCUAACCCUGAUCGACGGAGAAACUUGCUUCGUGGGAGCCUUGGGCCAUUGCAGAGCUCAUCUCGUUCAUCACUCAAGGUACAAUUGCUUGCGAAGUGUUGAUCUUUGCACCAGCUUCUUCGAUGCUUUCUCCAGAGCAAACAAUUAAAAAUGGUUGUGUUGUGGCCUUGUGGGAUUAGUAUCAGAAACGAGGAGCAUAUCAAUCCGGUUGGAUGAAAAUUUAAUUUUACUUUUGUCCAAUGGUUAAACAAUUGAGCUGGGUAA
This 1162-nucleotide long non-coding RNA is filed under the name Citrus maxima (pomelo). Its description in RNAcentral is "long non-coding RNA (CMAX_LNC003911)". Lineage: Eukaryota; Viridiplantae; Streptophyta; Magnoliopsida; Sapindales; Rutaceae. The record is from RNAcentral.